GAAGCUCAGAGGAGAGAGACAGAGUAGAUGUACAGCGACAGGCGUGACGUCGCCGGAACGAAUCUCUUUCGCUCAAGAUAAGUGAUGGUGAUCUCUCCAGUUGUGCACACAAGGGAGGAGAGAUGGAAUCACGAUGACUUGCAAAGCGACGUACUUUGCAGCGCACCCCGGUGGGGGGGAGCAGAGCACCUAGGUGAGAAGGUGCAGGCACUUCAGGUUUGGAAGUGCAAUCACUUCAGUGGAAGUGGAGUUGCCCGCAGAUGAGGGUAACGUAUCUCGGAUACUGUCUUGUAGAUCUUAU
RNAcentral lists this long non-coding RNA (301 nucleotides) under Actinidia chinensis (golden kiwifruit). Its description in RNAcentral is "long non-coding RNA (ACHI_LNC003753)". Lineage: Eukaryota; Viridiplantae; Streptophyta; Magnoliopsida; Ericales; Actinidiaceae. The record is from RNAcentral.